Non-coding RNA from Biomphalaria pfeifferi, 478 nucleotides. The record is from the annotation of a GenBank genome assembly. Lineage: Eukaryota; Metazoa; Mollusca; Gastropoda; Planorbidae.
AGAGUUGGGUGGACUCAGGGGCGCCAUAAAAAUUCCAAACUUUAAUUCCAGUCUUCACGGAGAUUCGAACCCAGGAACCCAGGUUAGGAAGCAAAGCACUUAACCACACAACUACCACGUUCUAGUACCAGUACUAGUACAAGUAUGAGUAUUUAAAAAAAUAAAGGAAGUGUAUAUUCAUUUAGCCAAUAUUUAAAUAGAAAUAAUUGAAAAAAUGUAUUUAUUGAAUUAUAAGUAAACAUUGCAUUUAGAUUUUAUCUUUUUUUUUUUCAUAAGCAUUGUUGUAUACCAGUAUAAAAAAAAAACACCCUCAUUUAGUAUAUUAACAAUGUCAUGAUUAAUAAACUUUGAGCAUUGGUUAAAAAUUGAAUGUGGUAAGGGAAGACUGUGACUAUAAAUUUUUAUUGAUUUUGUUUAUGGGUUGUUGUUUUUUCAUUUGUUGAUGUAGCAUUAACAUUGCACUGAAAACCACAAGUUG